This is a non-coding RNA of Pelobates cultripes (western spadefoot toad), 100 nucleotides long. Lineage: Eukaryota; Metazoa; Chordata; Amphibia; Anura; Pelobatidae. The record is from the annotation of a GenBank genome assembly.
UGCCAUGCGUGUCUGUAUGUGAAACUGUUUGUCUGCAUGUGUGUACGUUCCCCGCCCACACACAUGCAGACAAACAGUUUCACAUGCAGACACGCACAUA